CCUACGGGAGGCAGCAGUGAGGAAUAUUGGUCAAUGGACGAGAGUCUGAACCAGCCAAGUAGCGUGAAGGAUGACUGCCCUAUGGGUUGUAAACUUCUUUUAUAUGGGAAUAAAAUGUUCCACGUGUGGGAUUUUGUAUGUACCAUAUGAAUAAGGAUCGGCUAACUCCGUGCCAGCAGCCGCGGUAAUACGGAGGAUCCGAGCGUUAUCCGGAUUUAUUGGGUUUAAAGGGAGCGUAGGUGGAUUGUUAAGUCAGUUGUGAAAGUGUGCCGCUCAACCGUAAAAUUGCAGUUGAAACUGGCAGUCUUGAGGACAGUAGAGGUGAGCGGAAUUCGUGGUGGAGCGGUGAAAUGCUUAGAUAUCACGAAGAACUCCGAUUGCGAAGGCAGUUCACUGGACUGCAACUGACACUGAGGCUCGAAAGUGUGGGUAUCAAACAGGAUUAGAUACCCUAGUAGUC
This 460-nucleotide ribosomal RNA is filed under the name uncultured bacterium. Its description in RNAcentral is "partial 16S ribosomal RNA". It matches the Rfam family "Bacterial small subunit ribosomal RNA", at positions 338 to 795 of the family's 1533-position model. The record is from RNAcentral.